RNAcentral lists this ribosomal RNA (721 nucleotides) under uncultured Ascomycota. RNAcentral describes it as "LSU rRNA". It matches the Rfam family "Eukaryotic large subunit ribosomal RNA", at positions 399 to 1141 of the family's 3401-position model. Lineage: Eukaryota; Fungi; Ascomycota. The record is from RNAcentral.
GUGAAAUUGUUGAAAGGGAAGCGCUUGCAACCAGACCUGCCUGCAGUUGCUCAUCCGGGCUUUUGCCCGGUGCACUCUUCUGCUGUCAGGCCAGCAUCAGUUCGGGCGGUCGGAUAAAGGCUUCGGGAAUGUAGCUCCUCUCGAGGAGUGUUAUAGCCCGUUGCGAAAUGCGGCCAGCCUGAACUGAGGUCCGCGCUUCGGCUAGGAUGCUGGCGUAAUGGUUGUAAGCGGCCCGUCUUGAAACACGGACCAAGGAGUCUAACAUCUGUGCGAGUGUUUGGGUGUCAAACCCGUACGCGUAAUGAAAGUGAACGGAGGCGGGAACCCCUCGGGGUGCACCGUCGACCGAUCCUGAUGUCUUCGGAUGGAUUUGAGUAAGAGCAUAGCUGUUGGGACCCGAAAGAUGGUGAACUAUGCCUGAAUAGGGUGAGGCCAGAGGAAACUCUGGUGGAGGCUCGCAGCGGUUCUGACGUGCAAAUCGAUCGUCAAAUUUGGGCAUAGGGGCGAAAGACUAAUCGAACUAUCUAGUAGCUGGUUCCUGCCGAAGUUUCCCUCAGGAUAGCAGUAACGUUUUCAGUUUUAUGAGGUAAAGCGAAUGAUUAGAGGCCUGGGGGUUGAAACAACCUUCACCUAUUCUCAAACUUUAAAUAUGUAAGAAGUCCUUGUUGCUUAGUUGAACGUGGACAUUUGAAUGUAUCGUUACUAGUGGGCCAUUUUUGGU